AGGCGGGUGGCGCGCGGCAGCAGGGUUGGGCUCUCGCCGUGAGUCGACGAAGGGAGCGCGGGCGCGCGCCCGCGUCCGCGCACUGAGAGUCGCCUCGGCCGCUCGCUUUCUCGACUCCCGCCUCGCGCCUCGAUCCUGUUCCGCCUCCCUCGGCCCUCCUGCCCGCCCCCACUCGUCGGCCCUCAGCUCAGAGACCUAAUAGGAUGGGGUCUUAGAGAAACAUCUUUUGAGCCACAGACUUCUUUGUUACCAGAAGGAAAAUGAAAGAAGAAAUUUAAAUACCACUUGAAGAGAGAUUUCUUAGAAAUUACAUCAGAGGAGCAUGCUUGGUCUUCCCACCCUCAUUAGGCCUCAGUGACAGGUACUUGAACAACUGAGCCCCUAAUGUGCAUGCUCCCCCACCCCUGAAGCCAGUCUCUGCCCUCCUCUUCCCUCCUCUUGCCCCUGGAAGCUGAUCGCCACCAACUGGCCUCUGGGUGGAUUUGGCCAAUGGAAGCACCUGUAGAGGGAAGAGAGUGAGGUUAGGAUAUUUCUUCCUGCUGUCUCCGUGCUUCCCUGCAGAGAGUGUGAAGAAAUGACCCUGAAAAGCCUCUGGCAGAGGAUUCUUCUUUCAGGAUGGUGUCGCCUCCUCAGCAGCCCAUCCUCCUCCCCUGGACUCAAGCUCUCAUUCCAGUAACACUCCUUCCUCCUUCUCCAUCUUCAGGGGGAGGUUUGCCAGUCGGUGGGUUCUAAGCAUAUCUCGCUGAUUCCCCCCAACCCUGCCGACACCUCUGUAGGUCGUCCCUUCAUUAAAAUCUCUCCAUUUGAACUAUCUGAGUUUAAUUCCAUUUCCUCCUGGUAUCUCAGUGAUACACGGUAUCAGUACAAAAAUCUCGCUUCACCUUCAGAACCAACAGAUUUGAGACAUUUUAUCCUCUGUGGAACCAUUAGUUAUUUUGUCAUUGGUUGUAUCAGAAAAAAAAAUCAGGAAUGCAAAUCCUUCUUUAUUACAGAUUCAGAUUUGCAUAUUACCAAUGUUAUAUAUUUUAAACAAAACUAUUCAUCAUAAGUUUUAAAAAUUAACUACUGGAGUAGUUAAUGAAUCUGAAUGUAAUUAUGUAGCUUUCAUAAUAUUAAAGUAAAAAUACUAAAAGAAGUAUUUCUUAAAGAAGCAAAUGCUCAAUCUCCAAGUAAAUUUUAUUCUAUGCUCUUCCGGUAUAAGAAUAUGUUAAUAUCUUGAAAAAUAUCAUAUUAUUUUGUGAACUCAUAAAGCUAUUUUGAGUUUUUGUAAAAUGAAAACCUUACCAAAAUGUAUUUUAUUGUUGGAAAGCUUGACCGUUACUGCUGUUUAAUUUUUUGAGCUUGUAAACUUUAUUUGUGCAUGUUUUCAACAAAGAAGGAUUUUAUUGUUAUUACAUAAAACAGGUGAUUUCUAGAUUUUAAAAUCACAAAUUGAAAGCAAGGCACAAUAAUAUAUAUUUCAAGAUAUAGGUACUUAGGAGGCAUCCUUUUAGUCAUCUGUUCAAUGUAGCCAUCUAUUUUACACCUACUGUCUACUAUUGUUUGAGGUCCUUGCCAAAGUAUUGCAGGCUAGUUAGGAAACAUAAAACAAUUAGAAAGUAAUCUAUGACAAGUAAGCUAUCUAUAAAUGGCAAUGAAGGGUAGAACAAAUUCAAUGAAAAUAUCUAUUUAAUCCUAGUGUUUACUGGUCUAGAAGAAUAGGCUGAGUAAAUUAGUAUUUCUCUGGCUGUUGUGGUAACACAUUGCAUGCUAUAACAGUUUUAAGUAAUUACAGGUGCAUUGAAAUUUAUCUAUGGCUUUGUCAUCAUAUUCUAAAAUGUCAUGAGUACUUUUUUCUGACCUCAAUUACUAUGAAAUUGGUUUCCAAUAUUUAAUUAACCAAGAAUAUCAAGUCUAUAGGGUAUUAUUAAGGUGAGACUUCUGUAGCCUUUUCAAUAAAGACCAGAAUUUUGGAGUGCCUUGAACCUUAAUCAUUGAUCUUUAAUUCUUAUUAAGUCAACUGCCCACCUUUUAAAGACUGAGGCCCAGGAAGAGUAAGUUUCUCUGAGACAAUGCAUACAGUACAGUGCUUCUUGGGUAUUGGCUCUAAGACCAGAUGCAAAGAAAGGCUAAAAUCCCAUUUCAUUGUUCAUUAGGUGAGAACCCUUUGUUAAGCUGUGUAACCUCUGUGCAUAGUUUCCUCAUCAGCAAAGUCAGAAAAAGUAUGUACCUGAAGGACUGAUUGUAAGGCUGGGAUGAGAGAAUCCAUGUGAUCAGCCCUCACCAACAGGUGCUGCCCAGUUCAUGAGUGCUGCUGCUGUCCUGCCCAAGUACCCAGCUUGCAGAGUGCCAGAGUUAGAGUCCCAGGGGUGUUCUCCACAGCUGCAUGCUUGAUCCAGGCCUAUCAGGUGUUAUUUGUUGACGGAACCAGGCAUCAUCAGCAAACAAAACUGACAAAGCUUCCUGCCCUCUGUGGAAGGCAUCUGAGGAAGAGACUGGAUUUUGUAGCAACAUGUUAUUCUCAUUAUAAACUUUAUCAUUGGAAUACUAAAGCCAAAUCAUCCCCCAUCUCCUUGAUCAGGAUACCCACUUAAUCUAGGCAGCUACACAAUUGUGAGAGCCUUUGUUUUUUUCUGCUGAAACAUCCUUAAAAAGAUACCUCACAACCCAAGAUUUGGCUUUUCUUAAAUACGAUUUUUAAUUUUUUUCAUUUCUAUCUAGAGAUUUAAUUGGAAAUGGAAAAUCAUCAAUUUUCCAAUUAAAUGUCUGUUCCAAUCAACAUUAUACCUUUUAGGUUGUCAUUGUCAUUUUUAAGUUUAAGCAACUUUAAGGAUUUUGAAUCUGGCUGCCUGUAAAUUAAAGGUGAAAGUAAUCAUUGUGUUGGAUUGGAACAUUUUGUCAAUUGAGAGUGGUUUCCUUGUUCUUAGUGUAUGAAAAGUUUAUUUUUCUAAUGUAGAUUAAUAAAGGAGAUAAAGAAAAACAAAAUGAGUGAUUUAUGUG
RNAcentral lists this long non-coding RNA (2979 nucleotides) under Homo sapiens (human). RNAcentral describes it as "HSALNT0385808". The record is from RNAcentral. Lineage: Eukaryota; Metazoa; Chordata; Mammalia; Primates; Hominidae.